GACGAACGCUGGCGGCGUGCCUAAUACAUGCAAGUUGAGCGCUGAAGGUUGGUACUUGUACCAACUGGAUGAGCAGCGAACGGGUGAGUAACGCGUGGGGAAUCUGCCUUUGAGCGGGGGACAACAUUUGGAAACGAAUGCUAAUACCGCAUAAAAACUUUAAACACAAGUUUUAAGUUUGAAAGAUGCAAUUGCAUCACUCAAAGAUGAUCCCGCGUUGUAUUAGCUAGUUGGUGAGGUAAAGGCUCACCAAGGCGAUGAUACAUAGCCGACCUGCGAGGGUGAUCGGCAACAUUGGGACUGAGACGCGGCCCAAACUCCUACGGGAGGCAGCAGUAGGGAAUCUUCGGCAAUGGACGAAAGUCUGACCGAGCAACGCCGCGUGAGUGAAGAAGGUUUUCGGAUCGUAAAACUCUGUUGGUAGAGAAGAACGUUGGUGAGAGUGGAAAGCUCAUCAAGUGACGGUAACUACCCAGAAAGGGACGGCUAACUACGUG
This 497-nucleotide ribosomal RNA is filed under the name uncultured bacterium. RNAcentral describes it as "partial 16S ribosomal RNA". It matches the Rfam family "Bacterial small subunit ribosomal RNA", at positions 28 to 507 of the family's 1533-position model. The record is from RNAcentral.